Molecule: long non-coding RNA, 361 nt
Filed under: Phoenix dactylifera (date palm)
Lineage: Eukaryota; Viridiplantae; Streptophyta; Magnoliopsida; Arecales; Arecaceae
Description: long non-coding RNA (PDAC_LNC014063)
Source: RNAcentral
GUAAGCUAGAAGUACUUUACUUGCAAGUAGUACUUAAAUUUCAGCACUUUAAAUUCCUUGCUUGCAAAAGGGAGUGAGAACAUUUUUUUGUAAAGAGGACGGGUUGUGUUCUAUUUUGCUCAUCAUAGGAAUGGUGCCAACGGAGAGGCUACUGAUAGUACCUGGCACUAUUUGACCCAACUAUUUGGUGUUAGGGUAUAGAGGGACGGCACAAGAGGGAGGCUACUGGUAGUACCUCGUGCCCUCCUAACUACACCGGGUAGGGAGCAAGUAGAGCAACAACACGUUUCUCUCGGGUUGUGAGGCUUAUUUAUUGUAAACCAUUAUUGUAAUUGGAGGUGAUUGAGUGGUGUACCUUUCA